Long non-coding RNA from Neodiprion fabricii, 146 nucleotides. RefSeq lists it as uncharacterized. The transcript is spliced from 3 exons. The record is from RefSeq and is a predicted model, not a curated record. Lineage: Eukaryota; Metazoa; Arthropoda; Insecta; Hymenoptera; Diprionidae.
CGCUGUUCCGAUCUUGCCGAUGUACUUCUGUCAAGCAUAAGAUUGACGUCGGAGAGAGUUCACCAAUUAAACAAGCUCCUCGAAGACUCGCUCUCAACGCCCGAGAAGAGGUGAAGAAGCUUGUGGAAGACAUGCUAAAGAACGAU